Molecule: long non-coding RNA, 2089 nt
Organism: Pristis pectinata (smalltooth sawfish)
Lineage: Eukaryota; Metazoa; Chordata; Chondrichthyes; Rhinopristiformes; Pristidae
Exons: 4
Source: RefSeq, a predicted model, not a curated record
CGGAAAGCGGCUAACAUCGGCGCCGAGUGAUCCUGUACAUUUGUCUGUAACAGCUGAAUACACGUGGAUUCCAGCUUUAGCUGUCGUGAACCUGAUCCAAAUGCUUGCUGCCUCGGGACUCUACUGUGGUUUAAAAAGUGCUGAUCACAGGAUGAAACCUCAACCGAAGAGACGAAAUGGCCAGCAAGAAACCGUUCAAGUCGAUGAUGAGGAUGGCGGGAUUUAUUCAGUGGCGAGGCCGUAAAGAUUUUCAAGGUCUUCGAGGCAUCCAAUGCGUUCUCAACACCAGCAUACUCUGUGCCGAACAAGCAAAAGUUCCCGUGUGUUUUCCCAUGUUCCACAUUAUGCAGCGACAUCUCGUGCUUGCAAAAUGCUUUGAACCAGGUGAACUGAGCAACUUCCCUGUCACCCCUCUUGAAGUUGGGCUUCGCACACAACACCAAGACCAAUCGUCAGCCCUACUAUUGGGCGCCCACAGGCUGACGUCGUCUUCGAUUCGCUGCGAAACAACAGAGCGAGCUGUCACUCAAGAGAUAACAAACAAAAUGGGAUCAAGAGUAGGCUAAUGGAACUGCCGCACCAAUCACAAUAUCAACGAUGAUCAGACAUUCCAACAGCAUAUUCUCCUGCACCCUGAUCCCUUCCACGUAGCUAAGUGGCAAAGCUCGAUCUCAAAUCCCAAUGUAUUACAGUAAAUUAAAUAAUCGAACGAGCGGGAAGGCAAACAGGCCCCAGAGGACGCUCGACCAUUCAAUAAGAUCAUGUUCCCCCGAGCGCAUCAUUCCUGCUGAAAUCAAUUAUCCCUGGAUUAUAUCAACUGAAAAACAUACAUCAAUCCAUACAUACUCAUCAACAAAACCUCAGCUGCCUUGCUGGGUGGACAAUACUAAAUACUUGGUGCUCAAAAUCCAAAUACCACUUUGGUUGGAAUUUUUGUCCAGAUCAGUCCUAAAUGUUUGACCAAGUCUUUCGAGGACUGUAAUCCUUGUUUCUGGAUUCGAGAGAAAUAAAGUCCUUCACCUAACUUUCGAAGACUCUUCGGCAGUUUCUAAUUUGCAAAGUGAUCACCUGCAUUCAACAGACUAUCUGCACAUCACAAAAGAAUCCAACACAAGAAAUCAAUCCUAUCAACUUUUUGCAGUGCAUUCAUCUCAAGUUCUUCCCCUCGCUCCCGGGGGAGGCAGGACCCAAUGUUAAUUCACAAUGGUCUAGCAUAAUUGCAGGAAGAUGUAAUUACAUGGAUUUGCACAUAGGCACAUAUGCUUUGCAACAUUCUGUGUGUCUUCCUAAUUGCUUGCGUUAGCAGCAUGUUAACAUCGGUUCAGUGGCAUGCAAAAGUUUGGGCACUCCUGGUCAAAAUUUCUGUUCCAGUGAACAGCUGAGCGAGUAAAAGAUGACCUGAUUUGGAAAAGGCAUAAAGUUAAAGAUGACACAUUGCUUUAAUAUUUUAAGUAAGAUUACUUUAUUAUUUCCAUCUUUUACAGUUUCAAAAGCACAAAAAAGGAAAAGGGCCCGAAUCAAAUGUUUGGGCACCCUGCAUGGUCAGUACUUAGUCACACCCACUUUGGCAAGUAUCACAGCUUGUGAACGCUUUCGGUAGCCAGCUAAGCAUCUUUCAAUUCUUGUUUGGGGGAUUUUGGCCCAUUGGUCCUUGCAAAAGGCUUACAGUUCUGUGAGAUUGUUGGGCCGUCUUGCAUGCACUGCUCUUUUGAGGUCUAUCCACAGAUUUUCGAUAAUUUUCAGAUCGGGGGACUGGGAGGGCCAUGUCAAAACCUUCAGCUUGUGCCUCUUGAGGUAGUGCAUUGUGGAUUUUGAGGUGUGUUUAGGAUCGUUAUCCUGUUGUAGAAGCCAUCUUCUUUUCAUCUUCAGCUUUUUUUCCAGAUGGUGUGAUGUUUGCUUCGAGAAUUUAAGGAGAAGUUAUUGGUAUGUUAUGGAUGCAAAUAAAGGAUUCUAAGAUAACCAAAGGUAUAAGUUGGUCAAAAUCUGCUUAAAAGGCCAACCGUGUGUUUAAUCAUUGGAAUAGUUCGGUGACAGGGGCCGGACUGUUCUCCGUGUGCACAAGUGAAAUAAAGUGUGAUUGCGAAACGAG